Alligator sinensis (Chinese alligator) is the source of this 5796-nucleotide long non-coding RNA. RefSeq lists it as uncharacterized. The record is from RefSeq and is a predicted model, not a curated record. The transcript is spliced from 3 exons. NCBI's taxonomy places the organism in Eukaryota, Metazoa, Chordata, Crocodylia, Alligatoridae.
CCACCAGGAGGUCCGCCGUGGGGCCCCGGGGAUGGCGGGGACAGGCGGGCCGCUGGUGCAAGGAAGAAGACCUAUCCUCCUUUAAUCUGGUACUCAUUCGGUAACACUAAGCAUCCAUCCUUAAAACUGUUUCUACGGUUAUUUAAUUUUUGCUUCAUACAAAAAAGUGUGCACGUUUUUUGUUUCCUCUUAAAUACUCCCAUAUUUGGAGUAUGCAUAAAUUUAUUUAUGCACACAAGGUUGAAUUAUUGCAUUACUGUAUGUAAAGUUUUUUUUAUAUUGAAGCCAAGCUGUAGACUUUAUACAUGCCCCUAUGGUAGUGGUUAUGUGCAAGCACUAAAAAAUGUGCAUAUAAAACUAUCUUUAUUUCUUUUUUUUAAAACAAAAGUUUUCACUUGCUGAGCAGUUUGAAUACCCUUAUAAUAUUUGUAAAAACAAAGUGUGUAGAUGUGAUAUCAUUUAAGUUUGGAUCAAAAUGCAUCUUGCAGGUACUCAGUAUGAUUACGGAUAUCUAAUGCAGCCAUGUAACACACAAAGCUGAGGCCAUUUGUCUUCUAUUGAAGUCAAUAGGUGUCUAUAGACUUCACUGGGAGCAAGACUGGGCUCCUCCUUUAUAAUUCAUGGAUAUGCACUUUGAAUAGUAAACAAAGAUAUGUAGUAAUUAGGUUAUCUUUAGUGUGCAUUUUUGGCAUGGUUUCAACUGUUGUUGUUUAUCAGGAAACUUGUUUUGAUUGUUUUCUUUUUAUUUGCCCCUUUGUACUGUGUUUGACAUCACAAGUUGCCUUAAUCAUGGCAGUGUUUAAAUACUGGGAAGCCAGAAAUUGAAUGUAAUAUUUUUAGUCCCCAAUUUAAAGGAAAAGGCAGCAUUUAUUUUUCUUUAAGACUGCAGUCUUUUUUCAAAACUCUGACUUUGAACACUUGUUUAAUUUCAAUAAGCCCCCAGAAGCACUUCAAUUGCUAUUUCUUUUUUAUAGCCAUUAGGUGGCUAAGUGAUAUGAGCCCUGAAACAACAAUACGCAUAUUUAUUUAAGUGGUCCCUCCCUUUGGUAUAAAAGGAAAGAUAAAAUAUAUUGGCUAGGUACAAUGGAAUAUAUGCCUCUGGUAUAACUUUCCUGAAAAUAACAGAGUAAUCCUGGCAAUCACUUUCUGUCAGUAAGAGAGAACUGUUAGCUGGAUGGUAGGUCUAAAUUGCAUUUGGUUUUUAGUCAGUGACUUGUUUAUGUAUUACUACCCCUCCAAAACUCCCAUUCAGAUUAGUGGGGAUUUAGGCACAGCAAGAAAUGUAGUUCCAGGCCUAUAGCAUAAAGCCUAUAGUAUAAAGCACAUGUAAUAGCAUAAAGUGUAGUUGAAGCUGUCCUGGGUAGAAGGAUGGGGUCUUUCUUGCAAUUUUCCCUUUUGAUGGCAAAAAGGGAGGCAUCUGCAUAAAGUUUACUCAAAUGAAUGCCAAUGUUUGUGCUCUUGUGUAUGUGUGUUUUAGAAUUGAUAUUUUUUGUUAAAUGUAAAAGACCACUAAUUUUAAUGAAUCUUGGCUUUUAUAUGAGCAGAAAUAACACUUUGCUGCUUAGUAAAGUGUUGUGCUGUUACAAGGUCAUGGUAGGUAUUUAAAUCAGGUUUUGUAGGGAUAAUCUUAGGAAUCCUAGUUCUGUGGUGAUUUAAUUGCUUUACAUACACGCUGUUUUCAUUUGCUGGUCAAUAGUAUUCCUAGAUCCCUGAAUGUUAAUAUAUAUAAUUCCUAGAUUGCUCCUAAAGCAUGGGAAAAUGGUGAACGACUCCCCUGACUUUAUAAAACAAGUGAGUAGCUUUAAAAUCAGCUAAACUUUCUGUUGACUUAGAACACAAAAUUAACUUUUAAAGCAAAACAAAAUUAUUGUUUUUGUGCUGUUCUCACUUUAUAGUUAUGACAUCCUUUAAAAGUUAUUAGAGAUAGUUAGCCAUGUUGAUCUGAAUCUGAGGAAGUAGGCUGUCCCUUAUGAAAGUUUAUGCCUCUGGGAAUCAGUUAGUAUCUAAAGUACCACCCUGGCCUGUCUGAUUCUUUAAAGUGAUUAUCUUUCUUUUCUUACUUAUGCAAAAAACCCUGUAUCUUGUCCAGUUCUAAAGUAUGUCUAAUUUGUUAAGAUGGUUAUAAGAGACUAUUUUAUAUGAAUGUUUUGACACCUAUUGACUUCCCAAAAACUAAAAAUGAGUUUAGUAGAAAUACUUUAAAAUCCCAACUGUAAGGGCAAGCAUUUUUCUUCCUGAGUUGCAAUUUUCUUUGAGAUUUUUUAUAUGAAUAGAGAGACUUCUAUUUGGGAUGACUACAAAUGUUGCCUGGCUGUCAUUAUUCCAAAGGCCAUAGAUGAGUAAGAUUCCACUUGGCUUCAUAGGGGUUUUCCCAGAGCUGGAACACAAACACUCAAACUUGCUCCCACUGAAUUAAGUGGCAAAACUGUUAUCGAUUUCCAUGGGAAUAGGGUUGGUUUGUAAGUAAAGCACUGCAGGGUUUCCUUUAAAUUAAUUUAAAUGGUUUAGCAACUUUUUAAUAUUACAAGUAUGUUUUUGAUGUUUAAACAUACUCCAGUUGUUACAACAAGCUUGUUAAAAAAGUGAUAUAUGCAAGUGUAUUUAUACCCAGGUUUCUUGUUUGUGUCUUUCUACUGGUGAAAAUAAUCUAAAGCAUUCUGUUUUGGGAAGGCUCUGGUUUUUGACUCCUUUGUAUGUUGACCUAUUCAGGAGAAAUGUCAGUUUGCCUUCAGGCCCUUAAUGAAGUAAAAUAAUAUCCGUCAAGUCAGCCACCAACAAUCCUGGAGAUGGAAAUAGGGAUCUGGAAAAUUUAUGAAAAUACAUUUUUCUUCUGUAAUGACUGAUUCUUGCUUCCUUUCCAACCCUCCUCAUCCUGCACAUGCAGACACACAGUAAAUGGAAAUUACUUCAUCCCUAAGUCAAAAUGACCGACUCCCAGGCUCUCAGGGGCUUUUCCUCUAAUGAUCCACAUAUAUAAUACAACCUUAAUUAUGUGUUCAUGACUGCUCCACCAUGAUCAUUUUUAAGCUUUAAAAGUGGCUUCGUAAUUCUGAACUUAUUUGUCCACUUACUUGUUAAACUACCGGAAUGCAUAUAUUAUAUAAACAAUUUUGUUUAUAGAACUAGCCCAUGAGAGCUGUGGCUCUGCGUGGUCUCAUGGCUAUAUGUACCGUUUUCUGCAUUAUGGCUCAUAGUCCACAAGUAGACUUUAGAGCAAAAUGUUUUCAAAUUAACAAUGGAAAUUGGAAAAGAUGUUCAUUUGCUAACACAGGGUUGAAGACUGCUGUGCAGAAGGGCAUGGGGGUGUAUUCUGCAGCUUCUGCACAGACAGUGUUCUCACAGAAUAAUGACAGCCAAGAGCUCUGGAAAACAGAACUUUUUUGGACCAGCUGUCCAUAAGGUGCUUUCAGUUAGUUUGAGCAUUAAGAUCUCCAUUUUUGGUCACUGCUGAUGCUAUAUUAAAGACAGUAGACAUAGACACCUCAUUCUUUAAAUCACUUUAGAUUUUAUACUGCAUUCUUUAUUCUGGCAAAACUGAUGGAUUUUAUAGUAAGACUUCAGGGUAAAUGAGAACUUCAGGUUUUUAUCAUGUGGCUAUUUCUAACAUUCAAGAAAAGUAAUCAGAUGUGAAAUUUAAAAGAAAAUACUCAGCAAAACACUUCAGAACACAAAAUAGCACAGCUGUUCUGAUCUUAUGUUAGAAGUUGGCCCUGAAAACUGUAAUAUUUACUAUUGUGAAAGUGUUUACAAAAUGGACCCUUUAAUUUGUCAUUUCUUUCAGAAUUGUUCACAAUUGAUUUUGGCUUUAUUAGAUAUUCUCUUAUUAACUUUAUGCAGACCUCUAAACAAUUUUAAUGAGUAUUUUGCAUAUGAACACUACUCCAGAGUUCUAGAGUAGCAAAUGCUUUUAGCGGCUUUCAAAUUGUUGUUUCCCUAUUGAUAUAUACCAUUUGGGCCUGGUAGUGCAUUUUUGUACACUCAGAACUAUCACUGAUUUAAAUAGGAAGUAUAGAUCUAUUAAUAGGAGCCAGGUAGGAGCCAAAAAGUCAACAAGAUUCUGUCUAGUAAACUACACAGUCACAAUCUGAAGUAGCUUUUCAAAAUAUUUGUAAGUUCCUUAUUUUUUUUCUGAUUAGCACAUCUUUUCCACACAUUGUAUUUAUAGGUCAUAAGCAGGGUCUUUGAGAUAGGGGUACAGUUUUACUAGGCCCCCAAGCUCAGGGAGGCCCCCAAAAUCAAAUUGCUCUCAAUAUUUUUUUUCCUGUUUCCAAAAGGAAGCUGGGUAGUCCCCCUUCCAGGAUGUACCAAACUUUCAAAUUCCUCUCAUAGGCUGUGGUCAUUGGAUGUGGAUUUGUCUACUGUCUCACUAUUCAGAUUAAUAAGAUAUGCAGGCAUGAAUCUGCAUUCAGAAGGAAUUGUGAUCCUUUCUGUAGACUCAAGAUAUCACCCAUUUUUUCCCAUUAGGUACUCAGUUCUAAAGCCCCAGUACAAGUUUGACAUAAUGCCCUUUUUCAUUUCUGUGUAAAAUAUACAAUGGGAGUUUGUAUUUUUGUCAGGAAUAUAUGGAAUACAAGCAUCUUCCUCCACCAUACCUUCCCGCUUAAUUUAGUUUGAAUGAAACUGUUUAAUGGAAAUAUUAUUAAGGCUUCAUAGAAAGCAUUUGCAAGCACUUUAAAUGUCAAGUUACUAGUUGAAGUUAAUAUUUCUUCAUAUCACAUGGAAUUGGAUCCAGUUCUACAGAUUUUAAUUUGAAAGAAACCUGUUAAGGGCAAUGGAAAAUCUGUUUCAAUAGCGACUGCCUAUAUUUGGAAAGGAAGUCUAGAUAUAACUGAUUUCUGCAUCUGUUUGCUGUAACUUUUAUCUCUUUUCCAGGAUUUUGCCAUUGUGUCAGGCCCUUAGACAACAACUUAAAAUGCAAAUAACGGUCCAGACUCUCAGUUUUGGUUAAGUCGGUAGAAUUAUACUUCUAAUAAUAUACUUAAUUAUACUAGUUGAGGAUCUGGUCCUGUAUGUCUUCCUCUUUUUUACAUAUCUCCAGCAAGAGGAGAAAGUUAAAAACAUUGGUUUUAAACAAUUUUAAACAUUUAAAACAUUUUAAAUUGAUUACUUUUGGGGGAAAAAAACUAGUAGUUUUCCACAGUUUAAAGUUGAGGUAGACUUUCCCUCAGAUAAUUUUAAAAGGGAGAAAAAUACAAUCCACAUAGUUCAUGUUUCUAAAAAUGUCUCUAAAACCUUAACAUUUUCAUAUUAGAAGUAGGUUCUGACUCCCACAAAGUGCAAGGGGGAAAAAUUGUCCACUUUUAAAUAUAGAAAUGUAUUUAAGCAGUAUUUUAUAUGUUUGUCAAAAUAAGGAGAAUCCUAGGAUCAAAUUUAGCAUUGUCCAGUUUUUCACUAAAAGGGUAUUAAAUACAGAAAUUCAGCUAGCUAUUGUUAAGUGCAUAUGUGAGAUUUUAUUUCACCAGAAUUCAUUUGUUUACAGGCAUAAAUUGAAACUACCCUCAGGGUGAAAUGCACUACAAGUAUACAUAUAAUGACGUUGUGGCAAGUUCCUAGCUGAAGUCUGAAGUGAUCACAUUACAGAAUGCUGUGAGUUUGGAACAUAAGGACAGCAAAAUAGCUCUGAGAAUUGCACUAAGUGUGUUGCACAUCAGUGAAAUUUUGAUUAGAUGAGGAUCAUGUGAGUAUUGACUGUGUGAAACCUUUGAAUACCAAAGUUUGUAACUGGUUGGACAAGGAUUUGUAUCAAGUUUUUUGAAUGUUAUGACAAAUAAAAUGUAUUUUUCAGUAAAAGACAUU